RNAcentral lists this ribosomal RNA (391 nucleotides) under Enterococcus durans. Its description in RNAcentral is "bacterial SSU rRNA". It matches the Rfam family "Bacterial small subunit ribosomal RNA", at positions 109 to 486 of the family's 1533-position model. The record is from RNAcentral. Lineage: Bacteria; Bacillati; Bacillota; Bacilli; Lactobacillales; Enterococcaceae.
AGUAACACGUGGGUAACCUGCCCAUCAGAAGGGGAUAACACUUGGAAACAGGUGCUAAUACCGUAUAACAAUCGAAACCGCAUGGUUUUGAUUUGAAAGGCGCUUUCGGGUGUCGCUGAUGGAUGGACCCGCGGUGCAUUAGCUAGUUGGUGAGGUAACGGCUCACCAAGGCCACGAUGCAUAGCCGACCUGAGAGGGUGAUCGGCCACAUUGGGACUGAGACACGGCCCAAACUCCUACGGGAGGCAGCAGUAGGGAAUCUUCGGCAAUGGACGAAAGUCUGACCGAGCAACGCCGCGUGAGUGAAGAAGGUUUUCGGAUCGUAAAACUCUGUUGUUAGAGAAGAACAAGGAUGAGAGUAACUGUUCAUCCCUUGACGGUAUCUAACCAG